This 221-nucleotide long non-coding RNA is filed under the name Mytilus galloprovincialis (Mediterranean mussel). Lineage: Eukaryota; Metazoa; Mollusca; Bivalvia; Mytilida; Mytilidae. The record is from RNAcentral.
CACAAAUUACGCAAAUCUUUUACAUUUUCAGUGCUGAGAAGUUGCACUAAUUUGAACGACGAUGGACGUCUAUAAUAAUAAGGUUUAAUAAACUGUCUCCUCAAGUCUCUAUAGCUUUCACAUUGUAAACCAAAUGGAAUUCAUCUUCAGUGAUAUUCAAAGUACAAAGAGUACACUUUCUAUCUAACCUAUUUACCCCAUGAUAACGGCCUACUUCAACA